UGGGGAAUUUUGGACAAUGGGCGCAAGCCUGAUCCAGCCAUGCCGCGUGCAGGAUGAAGGCCCUCGGGUUGUAAACUGCUUUUGUACGGAACGAAAAGCCUCUUUCUAAUAAAGAGGGGUGAUGACGGUACCGUAAGAAUAAGCACCGGCUAACUACGUGCCAACAGCCGCGGUAAUACGUAGGGUGCGAGCGUUAAUCGGAAUUACUGGGCGUAAAGCGUGCGCAGGCGGUCUUGCAAGACAGUGGUGAAAUCCCCGGGCUCAACCUGGGAACUGCCAUUGUGACUGCAAGGCUGGAGUACGGCAGAGGGGGAUGGAAUUCCGCGUGUAGCAGUGAAAUGCGUAGAUAUGCGGAGGAACACCGAUGGCGAAGGCAGUCCCCUGGGCCUGUACUGACGCUCAUGCACGAAAGCGUGGGGAGCAAACA
RNAcentral lists this ribosomal RNA (427 nucleotides) under uncultured bacterium. RNAcentral's name for it is "bacterial SSU rRNA". It matches the Rfam family "Bacterial small subunit ribosomal RNA", at positions 355 to 774 of the family's 1533-position model. The record is from RNAcentral.